UGUGGUUUAUGUGGUUAAUGGCCUCUAGGUUUCUGGGCUUAUGUCCAAGUGCCGGCCUCUAUGAGGUCACUUGUUCCUCAAAUGUAGCAUACUGGAUUGAUAUCAAAGAACGGGCUGCUAUGAGGUCACUGGUUCAGCACAUACAACAUGCUAGGAAGAGCGCCUCCAAGAUGUUCCAUCUAAUGCAUCAUGAGAUAGAUGAUUUGCAAGCUUUCUCAUCUUUCAUACAUGUGUGAAAAAACAUGAAAGGGCCUAGGAUUUCCUGAAGAACUGAGUACAUUCAAUCUAUAUUUUGAAGGCCAGUGAACAUCCAGCAAGUUCUAGAGUCUUUGACUGUGAAUGCUUUGGAUAAGCACAAGGACAGCAUUUAUGGAAGACGUCGUACUAUAGAGGUGAAUGCCACAUCAGUUCAAAGACCACCUUGCGAACAGACAGUACUGAUUCUAUUGAGAGGUUUCCUUAUUCUGAGACUUGCCUGGUCAGAUGUAAUAAAGGCAUGACAGGAGCGA
Long non-coding RNA from Mauremys reevesii (Reeves's turtle), 509 nucleotides. RefSeq lists it as uncharacterized. NCBI's taxonomy places the organism in Eukaryota, Metazoa, Chordata, Testudines, Geoemydidae. The record is from RefSeq and is a predicted model, not a curated record. The transcript is spliced from 2 exons.